UACGAAGGGGGCUAGCGUUGUUCGGAAUCAUUGGGCGUAAAGCGCUUGUAGGCGGCUUGUUAAGUCGCGUGUGAAAUCCCUUGGCUCAACCAAGGAAGUGCGCGCGAAACUGGCGAGCUCGAGUGCCGGAGAGGGUCGCGGAAUUCCCGGUGUAGAGGUGAAAUUCGUAGAUAUCGGGAGGAACACCAGUGGCGAAGGCGGCGACCUGGACGGACACUGACGCUGAGACGCGAAAGCGUGGGGAGCAAACAGG
This 253-nucleotide ribosomal RNA is filed under the name uncultured bacterium. RNAcentral's name for it is "partial 16S ribosomal RNA". It matches the Rfam family "Bacterial small subunit ribosomal RNA", at positions 524 to 776 of the family's 1533-position model. The record is from RNAcentral.